This 109-nucleotide ribosomal RNA is filed under the name Propithecus coquereli (Coquerel's sifaka). Lineage: Eukaryota; Metazoa; Chordata; Mammalia; Primates; Indriidae. The record is from RNAcentral.
GUCUACGGCCAUACCACCCUGAAAGUGCCCGAUCUCGUCUGAUCUUGGAAAAUACACAAGGGUUGGACAAUUUAUUUGAGGGAAUAAUUAAGGAAUAUUUCCCUGGCCU